Molecule: ribosomal RNA, 446 nt
Filed under: uncultured bacterium
Lineage: Bacteria
Description: partial 16S ribosomal RNA
Rfam family: Bacterial small subunit ribosomal RNA
Source: RNAcentral
CCUACGGGUGGCAGCAGUCGAGAAUCAUUCACAAUGGGGGAAACCCUGAUGGUGCGCCGCCGCGUGGGGGAAUGAAGGUCUUCGGAUUGUAAACCCCUGUCAUGUGGGAGCAAAUUAAAAAGAUAGUACCACAAGAGGAAGAGACGGCUAACUCUGUGCCAGCAGCCGCGGUAAUACAGAGGUAUCAAGCGUUGUUCGGAAUCACUGGGCGUAAAGCGUGCGUAGGCUGUUUCGUAAGUCGGGUGUGAAAGGCGCGGGCUCAACCCGCGGACGGCACAUGAUACUGCGAGACUAGAGUAAGGGAGGGGGAACCGGAAUUCUCGGUGUAGCAGUGAAAUGCGUAGAUAUCGAGAGGAACACUCGUGGCGAAGGCGGGUUCCUGGACAUUAACUGACGCUGAGGCACGAAGGCCAGGGGAGCGAAAGGGAUUAGAUACCCUUGUAGUC